Sus scrofa (pig) is the source of this 6981-nucleotide RNA transcript. It is a transcript of the gene named AMMECR1 like, with no coding region annotated. Lineage: Eukaryota; Metazoa; Chordata; Mammalia; Artiodactyla; Suidae. The record is from RefSeq and is a predicted model, not a curated record.
UGGAACUCCUUCUCAAAAGCCUGGCCGGAUCCGAUGGGUCUGCUGAAUAUAAGGCUGCUCCGAGCUACCCCUUCCUGGCUGCCUUCGAAGGCUUCGACUAGGUGGGGUGAAGCGACGCGAGCCUAACUGCUCCGGGAAAGCCGUGGGCGGCUGAGUGUUGGGCGGGAAAGGGCGGAGCGGCGAGGCUGGGCAUCCCGGCUGCAUCCCAAGCCGGUACCUGGGCCGCGUCACGGACAAUGCCGCCGGCCCGGGCCGCACUACAAUUCCCGACGCGCUCUGCGCUCGCUCGCAGAAGCCAAGGCAGCCCGGCCUGCACUGCGCCGACCGGCCUCACAGCCGGGAGCUUCGCUCCGCAGGCUCAGCGACCCGAGGGGUCCGACCCACCGGCCUCCUCCUGCCCCUCACCUCCCACCCGUCUUUAUUUCAACCGCCUAGGCUUCUACCCCAAGAGUGGAAAGCAGCCUCCUAAUUCAACCCGUGGAGUCGACUCCAGCCAAUAAUGUGCGCGAAGCUAGGCCACGUGACAGCAGCGGGGUGGUGCUCCAGAGGCUCUCCGAUCUCUAUGGUUUUGGCGACUAGCUAGAGGGCGUGUGGUCCACUGGAGGACUACCUACAUUCUUCCUCCAUUACCUCACUGCCUCCGGUGGCUGCUGGGAUACCGGAAGACUCGGGUCCCGGCUCGGCUCAGUCCUCCAGCUGCCCGGGGAAUACCUCUAGCAGUUCUUCCCUGCCGCCACCGCCGCCCCGCCGCUUCCUCCUCCGCCCGCCCCCGCCGGCCUUCUUCGCCCCGCCCCGUCCGCGCCGCGCGUCCGGCCCGUCUGCGGCCCGCUUCUCUCGCGAGCCCCCACCCAGGCGCAUGGCUCCAUGAAGCAGGAGGAGGAGGCAGAGCGCGAGAGGUCCCGUCUGCCCCGGCUGCGCCUGGGCCAGGAGAAAAGGUACAGGAAGAAGGAAUGGAAUCGGAAGGAAGAAAAUUCAUUUCAGAGACAAAAUAGCUCCCCUCCUCUGUUAUAGCUGUUCCCCUGGCAAUACAAACUUUCAGCUUUAAUCUAAACAAGACAGUGACCUCCGCGCUCAGAAACAAUCUAGUCAUUGGAAGUUUUACUGCAUCAAGUGCAUAAAGCUUUCUCAAAAAGAAGCCCCUGUUUCAAGCCAGACGUUGAAGCUUGCAAGCUGUUAUCCUCUGCUCGAGACAACUUUCAUCUUCUGAAGAAUUGCCCUAGAUUUAGAAAUGUGUAUUUUGUUAGGGAUCAGCAUAUAUCAAGAACAUAAGCAAUAUUUGAAAUUUUUGUAUCAACCUGAAGUGACAGGUUGUUUUUGUAGAAACAGUGCCAUUGCAAAUGGGUACAUAAAUAUCUAAUUUGAUUUAAAAGGUUGUAGAAUUUACGGACAAAAUACCAUAUUGUAGAGCAAGUGCCUAAAAAGGCAAUUAUGUGCUACAUGUUCAAAACACAGGGAAAAUUUUAGGAAUUAUAUAUUCAUCUGAGUGGGGGGCUAAAACUAACAUGUAAUGACUUGAGAAAAACCGAAGUAUACUUUUCUCAAGUCAGCAGGAUUUUACAAACUUUGAUAUUGACAUUGAAAUAACUAGAAUCUGUUUUCCUGAUCCUGUUGAUUACUGACACAGACAAAAGAAAGGAUCUUGGUCUUGUUACAGCUGUAUUAUCUUUACCUUAGGCUUUUUAAAGAAAAAGAAUUUAGUGAAAAAAGAUUCCUUCCUCCAGUUCACAUCAUCAGAUGGGACCCUUUGGUUUCCUGGCACAUGUGACACCACAUUUUGUUAGGCUGAUGGCUUUGCCUCUGUCUGCCUUCCUAUGACAGGGCAGAAAUGGCUACCUCACAAAAGGACUGUGAAGCUUGGGUCAUUUGUGUGAAUAAAGGUUUCUACCAGGUUGUAGCUUUUUUUGAAUGGGGUCUUGAAGGUAUAGAAGUGUAGAAACUGGAGUGAGGUCAGAGGAGAACCAAAGAAGAUGAGUCAGGCUGUAAACAUGAGCUGUGAAGAUGGAAAGGUGGGAGGGGAGCCUUGUGUUUGAAAGCAGCUGCUGCCUUUCAUCGUCCCAGAGAUCUGGGGCUAAAAUUACACAGAUAGGUUGAGGUUAGUGACGAGGAGAAUGUGGAAAGGAUGUGGUUAACAAGAAAAAGCAGGAACGUUCCUGUGGGGUUCUUUAAAAAUAGGAUGGUUCAAUUUGGAGCCUCUAAAAAGGUAGAGGAAGCAUCCUGAUGAAGAGUCUUGACAGGUCAAGCGCAGUUUUCCAGUCACUCCUGAAAUGUCCCCAUUCAGCUUCACGCUGGCUGCUACUCCAUCCUUAUGCCCUGAGAGUCCUGGGCAAGAGGGAGCUGCUUGUUCCCUGCCUUCAGCCAUGAUGAUCAUAACCUUAUGGAAAAUUAAAAAUAGUUGCCCUUUAGGAAAAGGUUAGGUGUCCCUGGUCUGGAAUUCAGGGUCUCUUCUAGCCCAUUGGUCUACGACCCUUUGUGACCAGUGUGACCUGGGGUUCUGCAGCAUUCCGGACCUCAGGCACUGAAUCAGGAUGGGAAAAAGACGUUGUGUUCCUCCACUCGAGCCCAAGCUGGCAGCAGGCUGUUGUGGGGUCAAGAAGCCUAAGUUAUCUGGAAGUGGAACGCACAGUCACGGAAACCAGUCCACAACUGUCCCCGGCUCUAGUUCAGGACCUCUUCAAAACCACCAGCAUGUGGACGGCAGCAGUGGUCGGGAGAAUGUGUCGGACUUAACUCUGGGACCUGGAAACUCUCCCAUCACACGAAUGAAUCCCGCAUCGGGAGCGCUGAGCCCUCUCCCCCGGCCCAAUGGAACUGCCAAUACCACCAAGAAUCUGGUGGUGACUGCAGAGAUGUGCUGCUACUGCUUUGACGUCCUUUACUGUCACCUCUAUGGCUUCCCACAGCCACGACUUCCUAGAUUCACCAAUGACCCCUAUCCCCUCUUUGUGACAUGGAAGACAGGGCGGGACAAACGGCUUCGUGGCUGCAUUGGGACCUUCUCAGCCAUGAAUCUUCAUUCAGGACUCAGGGAAUACACGCUAACCAGUGCACUUAAGGACAGCCGAUUUCCCCCCCUGACCCGAGAGGAGCUGCCUAAACUAUUCUGCUCUGUCUCCCUCCUUACUAACUUUGAGGAUGCCAGUGAUUACCUGGACUGGGAGGUGAGAACAGCCGCAUUUGGAACUCUGCAUCUCUCGUUGCAUUUGGGUUCGGGUAGGGGUCCAUGGGAUUCGAAUUGAAUUCGUCAAUGAGAAAGGCGUCAAACGUACAGCUACAUAUUUACCUGAGGUUGCGAAGGAACAAGACUGGGAUCAGAUCCAGACGAUAGACUCCUUGCUCAGGAAAGGUGGCUUUAAGGCUCCAAUUACUAGUGAAUUCAGAAAAACCAUCAAACUCACCAGGUACCGAAGUGAGAAGGUGACAAUCAGUUAUGCAGAGUAUAUUGCUUCUCGACAGCACUGUUUCCAGAAUGGCACUCUUCAUGCCCCGCCCCUCUACAAUCAUUACUCCUGACACACGGCUGCAUGACCAGUCCCACCCCCCUGUGGCCACCAAUGGCUAUGACAUCAUUGGAGCAGAUGCCUCCUCUUCCUGGUCCAGUUACUUCUAUUACUGCACCAUUUUAUGAUGCUAGCUUCCGUUGCCAAGUCUGCCUCCAGCUGACUGAGGAGGGGGGGCGGGGUUAUACUGAAUGAAACAGAACUUGAGGGGCCCAAGCCUUAUCUCAGCCUUUCCUCAAUAUGGGGUUCCGUUGGAUUGGGGCUCCUCCAUGACUAGUGAGAAUUCCGUGUGGGUUCAGAAGACCUUGGCACGUGGGUGCUGCAGGUGAUUUGCUGCCUGUGUGUUGGCCACACAGUGGAAGCUGGAAUUGAUUGAUGAAGGCUUACCCCACACACACCCCUGCAGCCUCCCCAGAUCAAGUAGGUGUACUCCCCUGGCAGUCUGGGCAACGGAGACCAACAAGAAACAUUUUUAGGUUGUUUUAAAUUCCUUUUUUUAAACUUCCAGUUUAUUGCGUACCAAGAGUUGAUCACAACCUCCAUGCUUCAUAAGUGGAUGCCACGUUAGGGUGGAAGGUGGGCGCCAUGAGUCCUUUGAGGCUCCUGGACAGAGACCUACAUCAAGAUCGGAAGCCCUUUGGAUGGCAUUGCAGAUCUCAUUGCUCAAUUAGCCACGAAGGUUUUAAUUUUCAUCCCACUGUCAGUUGGAUGUUCUGGCACUCUUCCUGCUCUGAGUCUCCUGGCGUUGAGCAGAGCUCUGUGGUGUAGCCUGCCGAGGAAGGACUGGGAUGCCCGCCGGAGGUCCUGACAGCGUCACUGCCUGCAGUGUCGGAGAGAGACCUCCUCCUUACCCCCCCGGCUACCUCACUCCUCUGCCGGUAGCAGUGCCUCUAGCUGGAUCUAGGUUCUCAGAGGGCAGAGAUGUUCAAGCAAGCACUCGGGUUGGGCUCUAGAAUGACACGUCUAGGAGAGAAUGGAUGGUCUCCAAGCUGUUUUUCUUUUCAGGCAAACAUCCUGAAGGACCUUCAAGCAGAGGGUUUCCUUUUCCUAGUUUGCCUGUAGAAGUGGGAAACGUGUUGCAGUUUUAGUCUUUAGGGACUUUAGAACAAAGCUGUAUGAUUAAACAAGGUGAGUCUUUGUCUUGCCUAACAUGCUGGGAAUCUUCAUCCCACCGUGGCAGUUCCAGAUAGUUCAUGUUAUUCUGGGUCAUUCAUGUUUUCAUGUGGCAUAUUUCCCUUUUCCAUUGUUGCUGAUUCCAAAUAGCUGUCAGCAAAUUUCUCCUCCCUCUUUCUGUUCUUCACUUACAUGGUGGCAAAGGUCAUAGAAAUUGGGGACUUGGAGAUACUUUAAAACAUUGUCACAGAGGCACUGCUGAGAUGAUUCACAGGAAGAGGUGGCCAGUGGGAAGAAAGGACCCUAAGGGUGAUGCACUGGUUUUCAACAACAUGUUUAGAGAACUCUUGAAGUGGGUUGGGUGUCAACCCAGUGAACAUGAUGUUUUGUUUUAAUUUAUUCUUAAUGUUUAUGUGGUAUUGGUGUGGCUUUCCAAAAUGGGCAAAUAGUCAAGUCAAAGGAUCUUUGGAGUUUUCUUUUGCCAGGAGUGGGGGAGAGGAGCAGGGACACAGUCUAAAGAACAACACAGGUGCUGGUCUAGACCUAGCUGUCUUCAUUUCUCGAAGUGGUGGGUUAAGGAUGGACAGGUGUGUUUGGUGCCAGCCUCUGCUGUGGUGAGAAUGCGGGAUGUGCCAGGGAAAUGUGGGCUGACCGCGGACACACAGGCCCGGCUGCAGUACCACCUGGCUGCUGUGCUGAGCCCUCAGGUCCCUCACAGUAUUAACGGAAACAGGCUUCUGAAGAUGAAGGGAUUGUUCUGUGAUUUCCUGCUGCUGAGAAUAAUAAAUGUCUUGUUACAAACAAAUGUCAUGACAGUUACUCUUAGGUGCCAUGGAUUGAUGUCAGGGUGGCCAGCUCUGGGCUACACCACCCACCUCCAGUUUGUACAACAGUGUUGAUAUAUAGGGCUACACUCAUUAAUGUUCAAGUCUUCUGUGUUGAAAGUUGUGUUUAAUUUCUAAAGUUUAAAAAAAGCAAAAAAAAUGGUGCUAAACUUUCACCCCUGAGCACGCUCAGUGAGACUGGUCAUGCAAGCAUUUACAGUGCCAUGCUCUUUCAAGCCUAUCUUGUAGAAAUGUUGCCCUAUUUGUCUUCCCCAAUGUAUAGUAUGUUUUUUAUUUUAUUGAGGGUCAGGUAGGAUACCUGCCAUUUAAGAAAAUGAACAGAAAAUUUUAAAACCCAGGAAAUGGGGAAAAAAAAAUCAGUGCACAAGAAUCGGGCUUGUUAAGCCCAGCACCACACUGAAGUGGGCUCGGUGGUUUUUGGAGUGAAGAAGCCUUACUCCCUGCACAUUCCCUCAUGCUCCCAUCCAAGUCCAGCAAUGGAGAUGGAGAUGCUCGGGUUCCUCUUGGCUUGGCAAGGGGACUCAGGAGUCGACCAAGGAAAACUCUUGGGCCCCAUGAGGAAUGGCACUUUCAGUGUCUGUCCUGAAUGGAGCCUAGUCAGGAAGUAGUCUGGAAGUGUACGGUCAUGGUCACCUCAUGAAGAUGUAUGGCAGGUGGCUCUCAGGAAAAAUACUAAGUCUGGAUCAUCCAUGUGGCAGCUUUGCAUAGGGAGAUGACAGCUCCGAACUGGAACUUUACUGCCUUCCACGCGCUUGACCAAAGCAGUGAUGAGGGUGGCCAAUACAUGUGGUAUGAGUGGUAGGUUUAAAGAGAAAGGGGUGUUUUCUGCUGGCGUUUCCUUUGUCCUUGGGCUGCUCAAGCUGAACAGUAGGUAACCACUGUUUUCAAGGAACCAGCCUACCUUGGCUGGUUUGGUUCGGAGUCCGUUUCAUCCCUAGCUGUGAGUGCCUUUUGGUCUGGAACGUUGGCUUGUCUCAUGAUACCCACAGCUAGGACAUUCUCUCUGUAAUUUCAAAUUGUCUUUGUUUUACAUUAACUAAAAGAGAAUGUCUGAUCACUAGAGUUUGUUGGUGUUGGUUUCCACUGUGAGGUUCUUAAACUUUUUCGCUUCAUAAUACUAAAGCAACACAUGUUAGAUACCCUUUCAACAAGAAAGGUUUGUAGUUGAGACAUUACAUAUAUUUUAUUGUUUAUAAGAAAAAUCAUCUAUACAGGAGUCCUGGGUGUUAAUUUUAAUAUUUGCACAAGAUCUGUUUUCCAUGAUGUGUUAACACCUACAAUUUCACUAACUGUUGAUGUUAUUUUCUAUUGAGAUUCUGGAGCCUAGGGAGCUAUAUGUUCUUUUUGUUUGUUUUCAUUCUUAUUUCCCUGAAGCAAGAGACUUUGUAUGGCCUUCAGUGCAAAGACUUCAGACCAAUUCUUUGUAUUACACUUGGUUGCCUCUUGGCUAUAUAACUUCUGAGUGCAAAUCAUUGAACUCUUUAACAAAAGUAUUGUAGAGAAUAAAUCAUAAUGGGUAAAAAGUG